UCACGCGGCGGACGGGUGAGUAAUGCCUAGGAAUCUGCCUGGUAGUGGGGGACAACGUUUCGAAAGGAACGCUAAUACCGCAUACGUCCUACGGGAGAAAGCAGGGGACCUUCGGGCCUUGCGCUAUCAGAUGAGCCUAGGUCGGAUUAGCUAGUUGGUGAGGUAAUGGCUCACCAAGGCGACGAUCCGUAACUGGUCUGAGAGGAUGAUCAGUCACACUGGAACUGAGACACGGUCCAGACUCCUACGGGAGGCAGCAGUGGGGAAUAUUGGACAAUGGGCGAAAGCCUGAUCCAGCCAUGCCGCGUGUGUGAAGAAGGUCUUCGGAUUGUAAAGCACUUUAAGUUGGGAGGAAGGGCAUUAACCUAAUACGUUAGUGUUUUGACGUUACCGACAGAAUAAGCACCGGCUAACUCUGUGCCAGCAGCCGCGGUAAUACAGAGGGUGCAAGCGUUAAUCGGAAUUACUGGGCGUAAAGCGCGCGUAGGUGGUUUGUUAAGUUGGAUGUGAAAGCCCCGGGCUCAACCUGGGAACUGCAUUCAAAACUGACAAGCUAGAGUAUGGUAGAGG
This 570-nucleotide ribosomal RNA is filed under the name earthworm cast bacterium C27D1. Its description in RNAcentral is "bacterial SSU rRNA". It matches the Rfam family "Bacterial small subunit ribosomal RNA", at positions 91 to 657 of the family's 1533-position model. The record is from RNAcentral.